GCAAGCUUCUGAAUAAAUAUUCUACCAUUAUGCCCAUCUACAUCAAUCUUGUAGCGGUUAUGAAGUGUCUUCACACCUACUGAUGGAAUCAUUGUCAGCAUCUGUACAAGAAUUGCUGCUACAUCAGCCACAUCAUAGGAUCUCUCCCCAAUGUCAUCACAUAUAGCAAGCUUUAUGGCAGCUGAUUGAUCACUAAUCCGCAUUGGGAUUAUGCCUGGAGAGUCUAGCAACUCAAGUUCCUUCCCAAAUCGAACCCAUUUCAAUUCUCUUGUAACUCCAGGUCUAGGGGCUGCUUCACACAUUCGACGUUUUAGCAAACGGUUGAUCAAAGAUGAUUUCCCAACAUUUGGAUACCCAACUAUACCAGCUCGAACUGGACGAGGAAGAAGCCCUUUGGCUCUGCGUUUGACAUUUACAUUUGUAGCUAGCGCCUUUGCUAACCGGCUCAGCUUCAUAGUCCCCAUUCCAAGUUGCCCAUUGGAAAAGACAAACUUUAUUCCCUGCUUUGAAAAAUAAUUUGCCCAAGCAUUCCGGUCUGCCUUGGAGAUCAUAUCUUCUCUAUUCAAAACUAAAAUUCUUUUCCUAUUUC
This 589-nucleotide unclassified non-coding RNA is filed under the name Hevea brasiliensis (rubber tree). The record is from RNAcentral. Lineage: Eukaryota; Viridiplantae; Streptophyta; Magnoliopsida; Malpighiales; Euphorbiaceae.